GUGUUAGCCAGGAUGGUCUCAAUCUCCUGACCUCAUGAUCCACCUGCCUCGGCCUCCCGAACUGCUGGGAUUACAGGCAUGUUUUGAGCACGGUUCCCCAGUCCCCGGGCCUGGACCAGUCUGUGACCUAUUAGGAACCAGGAUGCACGGCAGGAGAUGGGACCAUCUAGUUGCAGGAAAACAAGCUCAGGGCAUCUACUGACUCUACAUUAUGGUUUUCCAGUCACAUUAUACAUGUGGAGAUUAAGACCCAUAAUAACAAUGACAACACUUUCAUAACAGUUCGUCUGUGUUAACAUACAAAUUCUCGCAGCAACACUCCAG
Long non-coding RNA from Pan troglodytes (chimpanzee), 324 nucleotides. RefSeq lists it as uncharacterized. The transcript is spliced from 4 exons. Lineage: Eukaryota; Metazoa; Chordata; Mammalia; Primates; Hominidae. The record is from RefSeq and is a predicted model, not a curated record.